Molecule: ribosomal RNA, 292 nt
Filed under: uncultured prokaryote
Description: partial 16S ribosomal RNA
Rfam family: Bacterial small subunit ribosomal RNA
Source: RNAcentral
GUGCCAGCAGCCGCGGUAAUACGUAGGGUGCGAGCGUUGUCCGGAAUUACUGCCCGUAAAGAGCUCGUAGGCGGUAAGUCGCGUCGUCUGUGAUAUCCUCCAGCUUAACUGGCCCCGUGCAGGCGAUACGGGCAGACUUGAGUACUACAGCCCAGACUGGAAUUCCUGGUGUAGAGGUGUUAUGCGCAGAUAUCAGGAGGAACACCGGUGGCGAAGGCGGGUCUCUGGGCAGUAACUGACGCUGAGGCGCGAAAGCAUGGGUAGCGAACAGGAUUAGAUACCCUCGUAGUCC